GUCGAGAAUAAUUCACAAUGGACGAAAGUCUGAUGGUGCAACGCCGCGUGGAGGAUGAAGGUCUUCGGAUUGUAAACUCCUGUCAUCGGGGAGUAAGACCUGGAGGUAAAUAGCCGACAGGGUUGAUAGUACCCGAAGAGGAAGGGACGGCUAACUUCGUGCCAGCAGCCGCGGUAAUACGAAGGUCCCAAGCGUUGUUCGGAAUCACUGGGCGUAAAGGGAGCGUAGGCGGCGUGGUAAGUCAGAUGUGAAAUCCCGGGGCUCAACCCCGGAACUGCAUCCGAUACUGCCAUGCUUGAGGGUUGGAGAGGUAGCUGGAAUUCUCGGUGUAGCAGUGAAAUGCGUGGAUAUCGAGAGGAACACUCGUGGCGAAGGCGAGCUACUGGACAACAUCUGACGCUGAGGCUCGAAGGCCAGGGGAGCAAAAGGGAUUAGAUACCCUAGUAGUCC
RNAcentral lists this ribosomal RNA (450 nucleotides) under uncultured bacterium. RNAcentral describes it as "partial 16S ribosomal RNA". It matches the Rfam family "Bacterial small subunit ribosomal RNA", at positions 354 to 796 of the family's 1533-position model. The record is from RNAcentral.